RNAcentral lists this transfer RNA (75 nucleotides) under Nanobdellota archaeon. Its description in RNAcentral is "tRNA-Thr". It matches the Rfam family "tRNA". Rfam says of the family: Transfer RNA (tRNA) molecules are approximately 80 nucleotides in length. Their secondary structure includes four short double-helical elements and three loops (D, anti-codon, and T loops). Further hydrogen bonds mediate the characteristic L-shaped molecular structure. tRNAs have two regions of fundamental functional importance: the anti-codon, which is responsible for specific mRNA codon recognition, and the 3' end, to which the tRNAs corresponding amino acid is attached (by aminoacyl-tRNA synthetases). tRNAs cope with the degeneracy of the genetic code in two manners: having more than one tRNA (with a specific anti-codon) for a particular amino acid; and 'wobble' base-pairing, i.e. permitting non-standard base-pairing at the 3rd anti-codon position. Lineage: Archaea; Nanobdellati; Nanobdellota. The record is from RNAcentral.
GCCGCCUUAGCUCAGUCUGGUUAGAGCGCGUCCUUGGUAAGGACGAGGUCCCGGGUUCGAUCCCCGGAGGUGGCU